This 95-nucleotide microRNA precursor is filed under the name Picea abies (Norway spruce). RNAcentral describes it as "miR395g stem-loop (pab-MIR395g)". Its record names the gene pab-MIR395g. The record is from miRBase by way of RNAcentral. Lineage: Eukaryota; Viridiplantae; Streptophyta; Pinopsida; Pinales; Pinaceae.
GUUUGACGCUCCUGGAAUUCUCCCAAACACUUAGGCGAACAGCUCUCUAGGGUAAUUCCCAGAAGUGUUUGGGGGGACUCUGGGAGUCGUUGAAC